This 577-nucleotide ribosomal RNA is filed under the name uncultured bacterium. RNAcentral's name for it is "partial 16S ribosomal RNA". It matches the Rfam family "Bacterial small subunit ribosomal RNA", at positions 355 to 1376 of the family's 1533-position model. The record is from RNAcentral.
UGAGGAAUAUUGCGCAAUGGGGGAAACCCUGACGCAGCCACGCCGCGUGGAGGAUGACACUGCUCUGCAGCGUAAACUCCUUUUGUAAGGGAAGAACAGCGCGGUCGCCGCGCCUGACGGUACCUUACGAAUAAGCACCGGCUAACUCCGUGCCAGCAGCCGCGGUAAUACGGAGGGUGCAAGCGUUGUCCGGAAUCACUGGGUGUAAAGGGUGUGUAGGCGGGACGGUAAGUCGAGGGUGAAAGCCCGCAGCUUAACUGCGGAACUGCCCUUGAUACUGCCGACCUUGAGUCCCGGAGAGGUGGCUGGAAUUCGUGGUGUAGCGGUGAAAUGCGUAGAUAUCACGAGGAACACCAAAGGCGUAGGCAGGUCACUGGACGGGUACUGACGCUGAGGCACGAAAGUGUGGGGAGCAAACAGGAUUAGAUACCCUGGUAGUCCACACUGUAAGCGAUGGACGCUCGGUGUUGCGGCAUUUUGCUGCAGUGCCUAAGCAAACGCGUUAAGCGUCCCACCUGGGGAGUACGCUCGCAAGAGUGAAACUUAAAGGAAUUGACGGGGUCAUAGCUGUUUCCUG